GUACACACCGCCCGUCAAGCCACGAAAGCGGGGAGCAUCCCAAGUCGCCGUGUCAACCGCAAGGAGACAAGUGCCUAAGAUGAGCUCCGUGAUUGGGACUAAGUCGUAACAAGGUAACCGUAGGUGAACCUGCAGAAGGAUCA
RNAcentral lists this ribosomal RNA (143 nucleotides) under uncultured eukaryote. Its description in RNAcentral is "partial small subunit ribosomal RNA". It matches the Rfam family "Bacterial small subunit ribosomal RNA", at positions 1383 to 1525 of the family's 1533-position model. The record is from RNAcentral.